UACGUAGGGUGCGAGCGUUAAUCGGAAUUACUGGGCGUAAAGCGUGCGCAGGCGGUUUUGUAAGCCAGAUGUGAAAUCCCCGGGCUUAACCUGGGAAUGGCAUUUGGGACUGCAAGGCUGGAGUGCGGCAGAGGAGACUGGAAUUCCUGGUGUAGCAGUGAAAUGUGUAGAGAUCGGGAGGAACACCGGUGGCGAAGGCGGGUCUCUGGGCAUCUCCUGACGCUGAGGCGCGAAAGCGUGGGGAGCAAACGGG
This 253-nucleotide ribosomal RNA is filed under the name uncultured bacterium. RNAcentral's name for it is "partial 16S ribosomal RNA". It matches the Rfam family "Bacterial small subunit ribosomal RNA", at positions 524 to 776 of the family's 1533-position model. The record is from RNAcentral.